This 465-nucleotide ribosomal RNA is filed under the name uncultured Selenomonas sp. RNAcentral describes it as "bacterial SSU rRNA". It matches the Rfam family "Bacterial small subunit ribosomal RNA", at positions 338 to 795 of the family's 1533-position model. The record is from RNAcentral. Lineage: Bacteria; Bacillati; Bacillota; Negativicutes; Selenomonadales; Selenomonadaceae.
CCUACGGGGGGCAGCAGUGGGGAAUCUUCCGCAAUGGGCGCAAGCCUGACGGAGCAACGCCGCGUGAGUGAAGAAGGUCUUCGGAUCGUAAAGCUCUGUUGACGGGGACGAACGUGCGGGGUGCGAACAGCGCUUUGUAAUGACGGUACCUGUCGAGGAAGCCACGGCUAACUACGUGCCAGCAGCCGCGGUAAUACGUAGGUGGCGAGCGUUGUCCGGAAUCAUUGGGCGUAAAGGGAGCGCAGGCGGGCCGGUAAGUCUUACUUAAAAGUGCGGGGCUCAACCCCGUGAUGGGAGAGAAACUAUCGGUCUUGAGUACAGGAGAGGAAAGCGGAAUUCCCAGUGUAGCGGUGAAAUGCGUAGAUAUUGGGAAGAACACCAGUGGCGAAGGCGGCUUUCUGGACUGCAACUGACGCUGAGGCUCGAAAGCCAGGGGAGCGAACGGGAUUAGAUACCCGAGUAGUC